RNAcentral lists this ribosomal RNA (761 nucleotides) under uncultured bacterium. RNAcentral describes it as "bacterial SSU rRNA". It matches the Rfam family "Bacterial small subunit ribosomal RNA", at positions 28 to 776 of the family's 1533-position model. The record is from RNAcentral.
GAUGAACGCUAGCUACAGGCUUAACACAUGCAAGUCGAGGGGCAGCAUGAAAGGAACUUCGGUUCUUUUUGAUGGCGACCGGCGCACGGGUGCGUAACGCGUAUCGAACCUGCCUCAUACUCGGGGAUAGCCUUGCGAAAGUAAGAUUAAUACCCGGCGGUCUCGGAUGGCCGCAUGACUAUCCGAGUGAAGAUUUAUCGGUAUGAGAUGGCGAUGCGUCCCAUUAGCUUGUUGGUGGGGUAACGGCUCACCAAGGCAUCGAUGGGUAGGGGUUCUGAGAGGAAGGUCCCCCACAUUGGAACUGAGACACGGUCCAAACUCCUACGGGAGGCAGCAGUGAGGAAUAUUGGUCAAUGGACGAAAGUCUGAACCAGCCAAGUAGCGUGCAGGAAGACGGCCCUCUGGGUUGUAAACUGCUUUUAGUUGGGAAUAAAAAGAGGGACGUGUCCCUUAUUGUAUGUACCAUCAGAAAAAGGACCGGCUAAUUCCGUGCCAGCAGCCGCGGUAAUACGGAAGGUCCAGGCGUUAUCCGGAUUUAUUGGGUUUAAAGGGAGCGCAGGCGGCGGCGUAAGUCAGUUGUGAAAUCGUGCGGCUUAACCGUGCAAUUGCAGUUGAUACUGCGUCGCUUGAGUGCACACAGGGAUGUUGGAAUUCAUGGUGUAGCGGUGAAAUGCUUAGAUAUCAUGAAGAACUCCGAUCGCGAAGGCAUAUGUCCGGAGUGCAACUGACGCUGAGGCUCGAAAGUGUGGGUAUCAAACAGG